This 1131-nucleotide long non-coding RNA is filed under the name Felis catus (domestic cat). RNAcentral's name for it is "lncRNA (ENSFCAG00000051532.1)". Lineage: Eukaryota; Metazoa; Chordata; Mammalia; Carnivora; Felidae. The record is from RNAcentral.
GAGCCAAUCAGCUGGGCCGGUUUCUGGACACGUGGCCCAGCCCCAGCGCAGCCUGAGCCGCUCUCCGCGCUCGCGCUUGGCGCCGUCACCUGGGCUGGCGGGAUGGCUACCGCUACAAAGAGAGAAGUGGCGGCCUUCGCCUUCCCGAGGCAAGCGCGGGGGCGAGACCCGGACUGGCUGUCGACCGGCUGUGUGCCUCAGGACUCGCCCCCGCCGCGGCCGGCCGCCGCCCCAGGGCCUCCCGGUGCCUUCCUGGGACCCGCGGACCCAGAGCGAGGCGUGCAGCCGGUGGAUACGUGCUUCCGGAUGCUGAAGACAAAACUAAGGUCCCCCACUCACGUUAGCUGUUCCUUUGGCCCAAGCGACCUCUUUAAAGGACGUCACGGUUUAAAGGACGUCAGUUCCCAUUGUAACUCCCUCGUUCUUUGACCACCUGACCAAGUUUCAAGUUUCACCUUAUUAGUGGUAAGUCAUGUUCAUAGUAUACUCCACCUCUUAGGUUUUCUCCCCCAAAACUCAUAACCCCAGUCUAACCAUGAGAAAAUCACCGGACAAAUCCCACGAAACACCAGCACUGCUCCCCAGAACUGCCAAGGUCACCACAACGAAGAGUCUCAGGCACAGCCCAGAGGAGCCUCAGGCAACAUGGCAACUGAGUGCAAUGUGGGGUCCUAGAUGGGACCCUGGAUCAGAAGGACACUGAUGCAAAGAUGUUGAAGUGUGCGGUUAGACUGACGGCAAUGUCAGUUUCUUAGUUAUGACAAGUUACCAUAGCACUGCAGGAUGUUAACUAUGGGCAGAACCGGGAAAGGAGUAUGAAGGCACUCUUCUGUAAACCUAGAACUUUCCAAAAUUAAAAGUUCUCUGAAAAACCCUCCAAUAGCCUCCUGUAGCCCCUGGAACAACAUCUCUCUCUCCAUGUGUCCGUCAAAGCCCACACUGCCAAACCCUGCAGCAUUCGUCAUCCCUCCUCCCGUCGGGGCCUUCUGUGUCCUCUGUGUCUCACCACUCUAGAAUUCGCUCUUCUCGAGCAAAUGGCUGCUUCCAGCCCUCCCAGGCCUGGCUGUGACUCAGGGCAGGCUAAGUGUGACUGUCUCCUUUCCUACCGUGCCCCCACAUUCUGUUUCAUGA